GAUGAGGAAUUAAGUGACUGGCUAGGUUACGCUGGCGGCGCGCAUAACACAUGCAAGUCGAGCGAGGGCUCAUUUCCCGCAAGGGAGAUGAGUUCCUAGCGGCGAACGGGUGAGUAACACGUGGGCAACCUUUCCUAUCGCGGGGGAUAACAGCGGGAAACCGCUGCUAAUACCGCAUGUCGUCACCGGUCGCAUGGCCGGUGAAGAAAGCAGCAAUGCACGAUGGGGUGGGCCCGCGGCCUAUCAGCUAGUCGGUGGGGUAACGGCCUACCGAGGCGAUGACGGGUAGCUGGUCUGAGAGGACGACCAGCCACACGGGGACUGAGACACGGCCCCGACUCCUACGGGAGGCAGCAGUGAGGAAUCUUCCGCAAUGGGCGCAAGCCUGACGGAGCGACGCCGCGUGUGGGAUGAAGUCCUUCGGGAUGUAAACCACUGUUGGAGGGGAAGAAAGCAAUGACGGUACCCUCCGAGAAAGCCCCGGCUAACUACGUGCCAGCAGCCGCGGUAAUACGUAGGGGGCUAGCGUUAUCCAGAUUCACUGGGCGUAAAGCGCGUGUAGGCGGCUGGUUAAGUGUGAUGUGAAAUCCCCGGGCUCAACCCGGGAACUGCGUCCGAUACUGGUGGGCUUGAAUCCGGGAGAGGGAUGCGGAAUUCCAGGUGUAGCGGUGAAAUGCGUAGAUAUCUGGAGGAACACCGGUGGCGAAGGCGGCAUCCUGGACCGGUAUUGACGCUGAGGCGCGAAAGCCAGGGGAGCAAACGGGAUUAGAUACCCCGGUAGUCCUGGCCCUAAACGAUGAUGCUGGUGUGCGGGUAUCGAUCCCUGCGUGCGAAGCUAACGCAUUAAGCAUUCCGCUGGGGGAGUACGGUCGCAAGGCUGAAA
RNAcentral lists this ribosomal RNA (883 nucleotides) under uncultured soil bacterium. RNAcentral describes it as "SSU rRNA". It matches the Rfam family "Bacterial small subunit ribosomal RNA", at positions 1 to 899 of the family's 1533-position model. The record is from RNAcentral.